UUCGCUAAAGGAUCAGUCUAUGUCCUAUCAGCUUGUUGGUGAGGUAGUGGCUCACCAAGGCUAUGACGGGUAUCCGGCCUGAGAGGGUGAUCGGACACACUGGAACUGAGACACGGUCCAGACUCCUACGGGAGGCAGCAGUAGGGAAUAUUGCUCAAUGGGGGAAACCCUGAAGCAGCAACGCCGCGUGGAGGAUGAAGGUUUUCGGAUUGUGAACUCCUUUUGUGAGAGAAGAUAAUGACGGUAUCUCACGAAUAAGCACCGGCUAACUCCGUGCCAGCAGCCGCGGUAAUACGGAGGGUGCAAGCGUUACUCGGAAUCACUGGGCGUAAAGAGUGCGCAGGCGGGUGGUCAAGUCAGAUGUGAAAUCCUGUAGCUUAACUACAGAACUGCAUUUGAAACUGACCAUCUAGAGUAUGGGAGAGGUAGGUGGAAUUCUUGGUGUAGGGGCAAAAUCCGUAGAUAUCAAGAGGAAUACUCAUUGCGAAGGCGACCUACUGGAACAUUACUGACGCUCAUGCACGAAAGCGUGGGGAGCAAACAGGAUUAGAUACCCUGGUAGUCCACGCCCUAAACGAUGAAUGCUAGUUGUUGUGAGGCUUGUCCUUGCAGUAAUGCAGCUAACGCAUUAAGCAUUCCGCCUGGGGAGUACGGUCGCAAGAUUAAAACUCAAAGGAAUAGACGGGGACCCGCACAAGCGGUGGAGCAUGUGGUUUAAUUCGAAGCUACGCGAAGAACCUUACCUAGGCUUGACAUUGAUGGAAUCUACUAGAGAUAGUGGAGUGCCCUUCGGGGAGCUUGAAAACAGGUGCUGCACAGCUGUCGUCAGCUCGUGUCGUGAGAUGUUGGGUCAAGUCCCGCAACGAGCGCAACCCUCGUCCUUAGUUGCUAGCAGUUCGGCUGAGCACUCUAAGGAGACUGCCUUCGUAAGGAGGAGGAAGGUGAGGACGACGUCAAGUCAUCAUGGCCCUUACGCCUAGGGCUACACACGUGCUACAAUGGGGUGCACAAAGAGAUGCAAUAGUGUGAGCUGGAGCCAAUCUCUAAAACAUCUCUCAGUUCGGAUUGUAGUCU
RNAcentral lists this ribosomal RNA (1074 nucleotides) under Helicobacter sp. MN-1. RNAcentral describes it as "bacterial SSU rRNA". It matches the Rfam family "Bacterial small subunit ribosomal RNA", at positions 214 to 1306 of the family's 1533-position model. Lineage: Bacteria; Pseudomonadati; Campylobacterota; Epsilonproteobacteria; Campylobacterales; Helicobacteraceae. The record is from RNAcentral.